Molecule: ribosomal RNA, 457 nt
Filed under: uncultured bacterium
Lineage: Bacteria
Description: SSU rRNA
Rfam family: Bacterial small subunit ribosomal RNA
Source: RNAcentral
AGGAUGAACGCUGGCGGCGUGCCUAAUACAUGCAAGUCGAGCGGUAAGGCCUCUUUUAGAGGUACACGAGCGGCGGACGGCUGAGUAACGCGUAGGAACCUACCCUAAAGUGAGGGAUAAGCACCAGAAAUGGUGUCUAAUACCGCAUAUGCUCUUCGGAGUAAAGCUACGGCGCUUUGGGAAGGGCCUGCGUAUGAUUAGCUUGUUGGUGAGGUAAAAGCUCACCAAGGCGACGAUCAUUAGCUGGUCUGAGAGGAUGAUCAGCCAGACUGGGACUGAGAACGGCCCAGACUCCUACGGGAGGCAGCAGUAGGGAAUCUUCCACAAUGGGCGAAAGCCUGAUGGAGCAACGCCGCGUGCAGGAUGAAGGCCUUGGGUGUAAACUGCUUUUAUAUGUGAAGAUUAUGACGGUAGCAUAUGAAUAAGGAUCGGCUAACUCCGCGCCAGCAGCCGCGGU